This is a non-coding RNA of Mycena leptocephala, 96 nucleotides long. NCBI's taxonomy places the organism in Eukaryota, Fungi, Basidiomycota, Agaricomycetes, Agaricales, Mycenaceae. The record is from the annotation of a GenBank genome assembly.
GACUGAUGGUGUAGUGGUAACACACCUGCUGAAUUCAGUGAUGAAAAAGGCUGUAAUCUAUAAGCAGGAGGCCCUGGUUUGAACCCGGUCAGGUCA